Molecule: non-coding RNA, 665 nt
Organism: Saimiri boliviensis boliviensis (Bolivian squirrel monkey)
Lineage: Eukaryota; Metazoa; Chordata; Mammalia; Primates; Cebidae
Source: RefSeq, a predicted model, not a curated record
UGGAGCAUCCAGAACAGAGUCUCUUCAGCCCGGGAGAGCAGGGACUUGGGCUUGGAGGGAGUGGCCGCUUGCUGAGUCUGACUCCAUGGAGCCCGUGGGCAGCGGGUCAUGCUUGUGCUGGGGCGACCCAGCCUUAGGACUUCCGGCCGUUUCUCUAGGUGACUGCUCUGCUGUCAUGAGUCGUCUCUUUAAUGCCGAGCGCCAGUACCUGCACAGCCCUGAAUGAAGCAGCUGCUCAGAAUCUGUCUUGUCAUCGAUAGACGGACAGUUGCCAAGUGUCCUGUGUGCUGCACCCAUUGGUGCCGACCGACUAAGGAGUUUUUGUCCCCGUCACCCUGUCCCUGUGGUUCUAUUCAGGCAUUAGUUAUGAAUCCGUGUUUAGGAUGAUAAGAGGUUGGCAGUGGGGAGGGUAAGUGAGAAGCUCGCAGGAGUAUGUGUGGUGAUGGCGGGGCAGCGCUGACGGAGGGGUCGGGGCGCCCCUCUGGACUGGGACAUAGCUCUGCUGCAGCAGUCGGGUGCGGUUUUGCCGUGUAAAUGACACCAUGGCCUGCAGGCAUCUCUGACAGCUGCGCCUGCUCCAGAUUCCAGACAUUUCUGUGGCACAUUUCCUGAACCAUCCUCCUGGUUUCUUCCCUUCCCCUCACUGAAUAAAAUCCGUAAUAGCA